This 1319-nucleotide ribosomal RNA is filed under the name Apilactobacillus kunkeei. Its description in RNAcentral is "bacterial SSU rRNA". It matches the Rfam family "Bacterial small subunit ribosomal RNA", at positions 92 to 1398 of the family's 1533-position model. The record is from RNAcentral. Lineage: Bacteria; Bacillati; Bacillota; Bacilli; Lactobacillales; Lactobacillaceae.
CGAGUGGCGAACUGGUGAGUAACACGUGGGUAACCUGCCCCGAAGCGGGGGAUAACAUUUGGAAACAAGUGCUAAUACCGCAUAAUUAGUUGGAACCGCAUGGUUCCAACUUGAAAGAUGGCUCUGCUAUCACUUUGGGAUGGACCCGCGCCGUAUUAGUUAGUUGGUGAGAUAAAAGCCCACCAAGACGAUGAUACGUAGCCGACCUGAGAGGGUAAUCGGCCACAUUGGGACUGANACACGGCCCAGACUCCUACGGGAGGCAGCAGUAGGGAAUCUUCCACAAUGGACGAAAGUCUGAUGGAGCAACGCCGCGUGAGUGAUGAAGGUUUUCGGAUCGUAAAACUCUGUUGUUAAAGAAGAACAAGUGUUAGAGUAACUGUUAACACUUUGACGGUAUUUAACCAGAAAGCCACGGCUAACUACGUGCCAGCAGCCGCGGUAAUACGUAGGUGGCAAGCGUUGUCCGGAUUUAUUGGGCGUAAAGCGAGCGCAGGCGGUUUUGUAAGUCUGCUGUGAAAGCCCUCAGCUCAACUGAGGAAGUGCAGUGGAAACUACAAAACUUGAGUACAGAAGAGGAAAGUGGAACUCCAUGUGUAGCGGUGAAAUGCGUAGAUAUAUGGAAGAACACCAGUGGCGAAGGCGGCUUUCUGGUCUGUUACUGACGCUGAGGCUCGAAAGCAUGGGUAGCGAACAGGAUUAGAUACCCUGGUAGUCCAUGCCGUAAACGAUGAAUACUAGGUGUUGGAGGGUUUCCGCCCUUCAGUGCCGCAGCUAACGCAUUAAGUAUUCCGCCUGGGGAGUACGACCGCAAGGUUGAAACUCAAAGGAAUUGACGGGGGCCCGCACAAGUGGUGGAGCAUGUGGUUUAAUUCGAUGCUACGCGAAGAACCUUACCAGCUCUUGACAUCUUCUGCCAACCCAAGAGAUUGGGCGUUCCCUUCGGGGACAGAAUGACAGGUGGUGCAUGGUUGUCGUCAGCUCGUGUCGUGAGAUGUUGGGUUAAGUCCCGCAACGAGCGCAACCCUUAUUAUUAGUUGCCAGCAUUUAGUUGGGCACUCUAGUGAGACUGCCGGUGAUAAACCGGAGGAAGGUGGGGACGACGUCAAAUCAUCAUGCCCCUUAUGAGCUGGGCUACACACGUGCUACAAUGGAUGGUACAACGAGUCGCGAAACCGCGAGGUCAAGCUAAUCUCUUAAAGCCAUUCUCAGUUCGGAUUGCAGGCUGCAACUCGCCUGCAUGAAGUUGGAAUCACUAGUAAUCGUGGAUCAGCAUGCCACGGUGAAUACGUUCCCGGGCCUUGUACACACCGCCCGUC